UUUGUCAUGGUUUUAUGAUUUUCGGUCAUUGGUACUCCAAAUCAUAACAUCGUGUAGUGAAUGAACCUGGUUCUCAGAAGAGAAGGACUACUACAGUCCCCAUGGUACUUUGCUCCUCUGUUACCAUUUCCAGCCGGAGGGAAAAGAUAAAAGCUCACAGUAUAAAAACUUGCAGGUCACAAGACCUCGCCCCUUUUUCCACCCGUCUCUCGUUUUGGCAGCACCUCGCUCUCCAGCCGUCUUAUCGUCGGUAGUAGAGUAAGGCCUACCUUGAUUUUGGGACAUUCUCUCUCUCUGUAUUGGAUUUNGAGGCUCGCUUCCCUGGAGGCAUACAGGUCUCCCUCAGCCACCCGUCUCCAGCUGGUGGGGACCUUGGGUGCUGGCAGGCAGCGGCUAGGCAGCAGGCUAGGUCCGCCUGCUGUGGAGCUGCUGCAUCCUGCGGUGCCUCUGUGGGAAAUGUGGGAGUGGUGGGGCCAGCGUCUGGCAGCUGUGUCUGUCUCGGGGCUGGGCGGAAGAGCUCUCGCGUGCCCCUUGCCCACUUUGACAGCGUCUCUCUGGGACUUGCAGGACUUGCUGAAGGAGUAUUACUUGGGCACCCCUGUAUCCCCAGUGCCCCUCCACGUGGUUCUGGCCCUGGAGCAGUUGAGCAAGCUGAAGCCCUCUUUUGGAAGCGAGGACAUGCAUGACAUCCUGACUCUGUGCUGGAAGAUCACUGUGACGCACCCUUCAGCGGAGAUGAUGCUGAAGAUCAGCAAGUCACAGCAAGCAGCUCGGUACCUGCAGCUUCUGAAAACAACUGUGAGAGCUCUGGGCCGGCUGAUGGCAGUCCUGCUCGAGACAGAGCACAGGCAUGGCUUCUUCCAGAACAUAGUCCAUGUGAGUAUGUGUGGGGCGAGGGAGAAAGCGUCGCUCCUGCCGAGAGCGGGGACAGAGCUCCGGGGCCAGAGAGGACGAUCAGAGGGGGAGAAAUCUCCUGCUGACGUGGCAGCUCACUGCGAGCUGAGAAACGGGCAGAGAAAUGGGCCCUGCAGGGGGAAAGGCAGGAGCCAGCCCCUGGCAGGCCGCAGCUGAGAACAAGCUCCUGGGUUAGGAGGCAGGUGUGUCUGCAGAGAGCGGGGGCAGCAGUGCCGCUGCUCGCGGAGGCGGGGGGCCGCGUGGAGCCACAGGGCAGGCCCUGAGGGAAAGAAAGAAAGAAA
RNAcentral lists this long non-coding RNA (1196 nucleotides) under Numida meleagris (helmeted guineafowl). RNAcentral describes it as "lncRNA (ENSNMEG00000001776.1)". Lineage: Eukaryota; Metazoa; Chordata; Aves; Galliformes; Numididae. The record is from RNAcentral.